This 56-nucleotide non-coding RNA is filed under the name Rhodovastum atsumiense. Its description in RNAcentral is "terC". It matches the Rfam family "terC RNA". The record is from RNAcentral. Lineage: Bacteria; Pseudomonadati; Pseudomonadota; Alphaproteobacteria; Acetobacterales; Acetobacteraceae.
GCCCGGAUCCGGGCCCCUCUGACGGCGAGGCGUCGCCGUGAUGUCGGAUCCUUUCA